UGGGGAAUAUUGGACAAUGGGCGCAAGCCUGAUCCAGCAAUGCCGCGUGUGUGAAGAAGGCCUUCGGGUUGUAAAGCACUUUUAUCAGGAGCGAAAUACUACCGAUUAAUACUCGGUGGGGCUGACGGUACCUGAGGAAUAAGCACCGGCUAACUUCGUGCCAGCAGCCGCGGUAAUACGAAGGGUGCAAGCGUUAAUCGGAAUUACUGGGCGUAAAGGGUGCGUAGGCGGUUAUUUAAGUCUGCCGUGAAAUCCCCGGGCUCAACCUUGGAAUGGCGGUGGAUACUGGAUUGCUAGAGUGUGUCAGAGGAUGGUGGAAUUCCCGGUGUAGCGGUGAAAUGCGUAGAGAUCGGGAGGAACAUCAGUGGCGAAGGCGGCCAUCUGGGACAACACUGACGCUGAAGCACGAAAGCGUGGGGAGCAAACA
Molecule: ribosomal RNA, 427 nt
Filed under: uncultured bacterium
Lineage: Bacteria
Description: bacterial SSU rRNA
Rfam family: Bacterial small subunit ribosomal RNA
Source: RNAcentral